GAUGAACGCUGGCGGCGUGCCUAAUACAUGCAAGUCGAGCGAACGGACGAGAAGCUUGCUUCUCUGGUGUUAGCGGCGGACGGGUGAGUAACACGUGGAUAACCUACCUAUAAGACUGGGAUAACUUCGGGAAACCGGAGCUAAUACCGGAUAAUAUUUUGAACCGCAUGGUUCAAAAGUGAAAGACGGUCUUGCUGUCACUUAUAGAUGGAUCCGUGCUGCAUUAGCUAGUUGGUAAGGUAACGGCUUACCAAGGCAACGAUGCAUAGCCGACCUGAGAGGGUGAUCGGCCACACUGGAACUGAGACACGGUCCAGACUCCUACGGGAGGCAGCAGUAGGGAAUCUUCCGCAAUGGGCGAAAGCCUGACGGAGCAACGCCGCGUGAGUGAUGAAGGUCUUCGGAUCGUAAAACUCUGUUAUUAGGGAAGAACAUAUGUGUAAGUAACUGUGCACAUCUUGACGGUACCUAAUCAGAAAGCCACGGCUAACUACGUG
Molecule: ribosomal RNA, 497 nt
Filed under: uncultured bacterium
Lineage: Bacteria
Description: partial 16S ribosomal RNA
Rfam family: Bacterial small subunit ribosomal RNA
Source: RNAcentral